RNAcentral lists this ribosomal RNA (231 nucleotides) under uncultured bacterium. RNAcentral describes it as "partial 16S ribosomal RNA". It matches the Rfam family "Bacterial small subunit ribosomal RNA", at positions 524 to 752 of the family's 1533-position model. The record is from RNAcentral.
UACGAAGGGGGCUAGCGUUGUUCGGAAUUACUGGGCGUAAAGGGCGCGCAGGCGGCCCCUCCAAGUCAGGCGUGAAAGCCCCCGGGCUCAACCCGGGAACAGCGCUUGAGACUGGGGGGCUUGAGUUCGGGAGAGGAGAGUGGAAUUCCCAGUGUAGAGGUGAAAUUCGUAGAUAUUGGGAAGAACACCGGUGGCGAAGGCGGCUCUCUGGACCGACACUGACGCUGAGGC